RNAcentral lists this ribosomal RNA (171 nucleotides) under Salmonella enterica. RNAcentral describes it as "partial 23S ribosomal RNA". It matches the Rfam family "Bacterial large subunit ribosomal RNA", at positions 1 to 172 of the family's 2925-position model. Lineage: Bacteria; Pseudomonadati; Pseudomonadota; Gammaproteobacteria; Enterobacterales; Enterobacteriaceae. The record is from RNAcentral.
GGUUAAGCGACUAAGCGUACACGGUGGAUGCCCUGGCAGUCAGAGGCGAUGAAGGGCGUGCUAAUCUGCGAUAAGCGCCGGUAAGGUGAUAUGAACCGUUAUAACCGGCGAUACCCGAAUGGGGAAACCCAGUGUGACUCGUCACACUAUCAUUAACUGAAUCCAUAGGUU